GAUGAACGCUAGCGGCAGGCUUAAUACAUGCAAGUCGAGGGGCAGCGGGGGUAGCAAUACCUGCCGGCGACCGGCAAACGGGUGCGGAACACGUACACAACCUUCCUUUAAGUGGGGGAUAGCCCAGAGAAAUUUGGAUUAAUACCCCGUAAUAUUAUUAGGUGGCAUCAUUUAGUAAUUAAAGCUGAGGCGCUUGGAGAUGGGUGUGCGUCUGAUUAGGUAGUUGGCGGGGUAACGGCCCACCAAGCCUUCGAUCAGUAACUGGUGUGAGAGCACGACCAGUCACACGGGCACUGAGACACGGGCCCGACUCCUACGGGAGGCAGCAGUAAGGAUAUUGGUCAAUGGACGCAAGUCUGAACCAGCCAUGCCGCGUGGAGGAUGAAGGUCC
RNAcentral lists this ribosomal RNA (391 nucleotides) under uncultured bacterium. RNAcentral describes it as "bacterial SSU rRNA". It matches the Rfam family "Bacterial small subunit ribosomal RNA", at positions 28 to 417 of the family's 1533-position model. The record is from RNAcentral.